AAAAACUUCUAGUUAGUUUUUUUAGUGCCCGUACCCCAAACCGACACAGGUGGACAAGUAGAGAAUACUAAGGCGAGCGAGAUAACUCUGGUUAAGGAACUCGGCAAAAUAGUUCCGUAACUUCGGGAGAAGGAACGCCCAAGUAAAGUGAUUAAUUAACUUUAUGAGCUUGAACGGGCCGCAGUGAUCAGACUCAAGCGACUGUUUAUCAAAAACACAGGAGGGUGCAAAGUUCUAAUACAACGUAUACCCUCUGACACCUGCCCGGUGCUGGAAGGUUAAGUGGAGAGGUUAGCUUCGGCGAAGCUUUGAAAUUAAGCCCCAGUAAACGGCGGCCGUAACUAUAACGGUCCUAAGGUAGCGAAAUUCCUUGUCGGGUAAGUUCCGACCUGCACGAAUGGUGUAACGAUUUGAGUACUGUCUCAACCAGAGACUCGGCGAAAUUGCAAUGUGAGUAAAGAUGCUCACUAUGCGCGACAGGACGGAAAGACCCCGGAACCUUUACUGCAACUUGAUAUUGAAGUUUGGUGUGCAGUAUGCAGGAUAAGUGGGAGACUAUGAAAUAGCGGCGCUAGUCGUUAUGGAGUCAUCCUUGAGAUACCACUUUCUUCAUAUUGAGCUUCUAACCUAGAUCCGUUAUCCGGAUCAGGGACAUUGUCUGGUGGGCAGUUUCACUGGGGCGGUGGCCUCCUAAAAAGUAACGGAGGCGCUCUAAGGUCACCUCAGCGUGGACGGCAAUCACGCAUCGAGUGUAAGUGCAAAAGGUGGCUUGACUGUGACACAAACAAGUGGAGCAGGUACGAAAGUAGGAACUAGUGAUCCCAUGGUUGCAUGUGGGUGCGCCAUGGCUCAUCGGCUAAAAGGUACUCCGGGGAUAACAGGCUUAUACCCCCCAAGAGUCCAUAUCGACGGGGGUGUUUGGCACCUCGAUGUCGGCUCUUCUCAUCCUGGGGCUGGAGCAGGUCCCAAGGGUUAGGCUGUUCGCCUAUUAAAGAGGAACGCGAGCUGGGUUCAGAACGUCGUGAGACAGUUCGGUCCCUAUCCGUCGCGCACGCAAGAGUUUUGAAGAAAGUUGUCCCUAGUACGAGAGGACCGGGAUGAACGAACCGCUGGUGUGCCAGUUGUCCUGCCAAGGGCACGGCUGGUUAGCUACGUUCGGAAAGGAUAAGCGCUGAAAGCAUCUAAGUGCGAAGCCCCUUCUAAGAUAAGAACUCUCACCGGAUUAACCGGGUAAGACUCCUUAUAGAACAUGAGGUUGAUAGGUCAGAAGUGUAAGUACAGUAAUGUAUUCAGCUGACUGAUACUAAU
Molecule: ribosomal RNA, 1308 nt
Filed under: marine metagenome
Description: bacterial LSU rRNA
Rfam family: Bacterial large subunit ribosomal RNA
Source: RNAcentral